This 1387-nucleotide long non-coding RNA is filed under the name Volvox carteri. Its description in RNAcentral is "long non-coding RNA (VCAR_LNC002793)". Lineage: Eukaryota; Viridiplantae; Chlorophyta; Chlorophyceae; Chlamydomonadales; Volvocaceae. The record is from RNAcentral.
GCAACCUAAACGUACCCUGCACCACUGUCGUGUCUGGCAUAGAUGGUAUCGGCGACACUCCUUCUGGAAGGUUGUAGGAUCUGCCAACGGCGGUUCCACCCACUUUCAAAAGAGUCAGGCAGAGCCAAGUUCCAUUUAUGGUAAUUUGCGUGGAAGAAAAGCGGCAGCCCUGGGAACGUGGCAACGGGUGGAGCACCAAGGAAGAGAUUUAAUACUGAGUUUCAAAAAAUGUGACCCUACAGACCAACUUCAUCGUACAGAACCAAAAGGCCACAAUUCCAGCAGUAUGUCGAUGAACACGCAUGAAGCCUUAUUAAAGCGUCUGAUGAAGCAGUUGUGCUGAGUACCAGCUGAAAAAAAUCACAUUUCUCUCCGUAGGUGCAGCAGUGAGUACUAACCAUCUGGCCCAUGCUGCACCAUUGUAUUGCCCAGGUACUGUUCGCGACACCUUGCAGCCCGGCCUGGCGGGGAGCACAAGGGUGCUACUAUCCCUGCGCUUCCUGGCUUAAAUGGGGACACCCACAUGGGCUCCCCAGCAGCCAGCAUGCCAUACGCAAACGUCUCCUUGUCACCCUGCAUGAAGCCAGGGGGCACAGCAGUGCAACACAAGAUUCAGUCAUACUUCAUACAGCCAUAUGCGUAUAUUGGACUGCUAGAUCACAUGGCCUGACGAAAGCCAUUCCUACUUGACGACUACGACACAUGGCUUGGAUUAUCAUCCAUUAGGGUCUGCGUGUUGACAUAUAUUUGUGGAUUAGAGCGCACCGCAGCGCUGGAAUUUGUUUAGAGCUGUGAGCUAAGGAGACGGGUCUUAAGCUGAAAAAGUAUUACCUGGCACACAGCAAAGUGUUGUGCCGCAUGUGCACUCGGCUGUACUCUCUAAAUGACAUGCAAUGCGGCGCCAGCGAAGUCAAGGCAUGGCUAAGGUAUGGGUGUAAGAAGGGUUUAGCUCUCUUGGCAUCUCCCUGAGUACUCUUUGCCUGGUGUUGCAGUGGGUGCCACAAAGCGAGAUUGGUGCUAUAUAUAUGAUCAUUGCACAUGUCAAAGAUAAGUGAUGAGGCUUCCCUGGAAAACAUCUACUGAGCUGCAUUUCAUUGCGUUUCAUUCCCUGGCUCAAAUCCACGCAUGCAUGCGCAAUCAUGUACUCCUUUAACUAUUCCUUGCAAGUGGGGCGGCAAUGGCAAUUCACCAUAUGCAUGAAACGACAGGUGUGGAUUUCCGGAUGGCAUUUCAAUGCAACACCACACCUUCCCGAUGUAGCAGGAUAGCAGCUCUGAAAAUGUAGAGCCAUAUACAUUCAUGUACGCCGCUACGAGCAGCCCACGCCAGUGCCUGCAGCAACGUUGUGGUGUUAAUGCAAUCGAGACUGUAACCUCAAACGAUUAGG